CUUGGACAAAUGAGGAAUCAAUGUUUAAUGGGUAAUUUGCAUCUGAAUAUUUCAUUGAUGCUAACAUCUUGGAGAUCUGAUGCCUCUC
Small nucleolar RNA from Telopea speciosissima, 88 nucleotides. The record is from RefSeq and is a predicted model, not a curated record. Lineage: Eukaryota; Viridiplantae; Streptophyta; Magnoliopsida; Proteales; Proteaceae.